RNAcentral lists this long non-coding RNA (2299 nucleotides) under Cricetulus griseus (Chinese hamster). Its description in RNAcentral is "lncRNA (ENSCGRG00015035438.1)". Lineage: Eukaryota; Metazoa; Chordata; Mammalia; Rodentia; Cricetidae. The record is from RNAcentral.
GGGGCGUGGCCAUGCAGGCGCUGGUGUCGCCGGUGACGAAGGCGGUGCUGGUGGCGCUGUUCAUCUUCGCGAUCCUGCUGAUCCUGUACGUGAUCCUGUGGUACAUCUGCCGCGACGUGGACUGCGACCACGGCCUCUGACGUCAGCGCGUCACCCACCGCGUCAUCACCCGUGUCGUCAUCACCAGCGAGUGACGUCAUCAUCACCGUCAAUAUAUAUAUAUACGCACACAGACCAUCCGCCCGCUGUACGUGAUCCUGGGGUUCAUCUGCCGCGACGUGGACUGCGACCACGGCCUGUGACGUCAGCGCGUCACCCACCGCGUCAUCACCCGUGUCGUCAUCACCAGCGAGUGACGUCAUCGCCACCGUCAAUAUAUAUAUAUACGCACACACAGACCAUCCGCCCCUGUACGUGAUCCUGGGGUUCAUCUGCCGCGACGUGGACUGCGACCACGGCCUCUGACGUCGGCGCGUCACCCACCGCGUCAUCACCCGCGUCAUCACCAGCGAGUGACGUCAUCGCCACCAUCAAUAUAUAUAUACGCACACACAGACCAUCCGCCCGCUGUACGUGAUCCUGGGGUUCAUCUGCCGCGACGUGGACUGCGACCACGGCCUCUGACGUCAGCGCGUCACCCACCGCGUCAUCACCCGUGUCGUCAUCAUCCGUGAGUGACGUCAUCAUCACCGUCAAUAUACAUACACACACACAGACCAUCCGCCCGCUGUACGUGAUCCUGGGGUUCAUCUGCCGCGACGUGGACUGCGACCACGGCCUGUGACGUCAGCGCGUCACCCACCGCGUCAUCACCCGCGUCGUCAUCACCAGCGAGUGACGUCAUCGCCACCGUCAAUAUAUAUAUAUACGCACACAGACCAUCCGCCCGCUGUACGUGAUCCUGGGGUUCAUCUGCCGCGACGUGGACUGCGACCACGGCCUGUGACGUCAGCGCGUACGGGUGACGUCAUCAUCAGCGUCUUCAUCAUCCGUGAGUGACGUCAUCGCCACCGUCAAUAUAUAUAUACACACACAGACCAUCCGCCCGCUGAUCCUGUAUGUGAUCCUGUGGUUCAUCUGCCGCGACGUGGACUGCGACCACGGGCUGUGACGUCAGCGCGUCAUUGCGUUAUCCAUUGCGUCAUCUUCCGUGAGUGACGUCAUCAUCUAUAUUAUAUAUUAUAUAUAUAUAUAUAUAUAUAUAUAUAUAUAUGCACACAUAGAUCAUCCGCCCGCUGUACGUGACCCUGUGGUUCAUCGGCCUCUGACGUCAGGACGUCAUCCAUCGCGUCAUCCGUCAGUGAGUGACGUCAUCAUCAAAACAUCACCGUAUAUGUACACACAUAGAUCAUCCGCCCCCUGGUCCUGUACGUGAUCCUGUUAUACAUUUGCCGCGACGUCGACUGUGACCACCGGCUGUGAGGUCAGCGCGCGAGGGUGACGUCAUUAUCCGUGUCGUCAUCAUCAGUGAGUGACGUCGUCAUACAUAAAUAUGCAUAGAUACAGAUCAUCCGCCUGCUGUAUGUGACCCUGUGGUUCAUCUGACUCAACGUCGACUGUGAGACGUCGACUGCGACCCCGGCCUCUGACGUCAUGACGUCAGCCACCGCGUCAUCCUCAGUGAGUGACGUCAUCCGUCAGUGACGUCAUCGUCACAUCAAUAUAGAUAUAGAUCAUCCGCCCACUGACCCUGUGGUUCAUCUACUGUGACCUGCACUGCUCUGUCGUCAUGACGUAACACGCUACGUCAUCUCACGUCAUCAUCAGACUCAGAUCUACCGCGACCUGUCAUUUGACGUCAGUGGGACACGGCUGCCGCAUCCCAGUGACGUCAUCAGUAACGUCGCUCAUCUGCUGUGACGCUGACUGACACCGCAACCUGUGACACCAUCACGGACGAGGGCAGCGAGGGCGUCUGUGACGUCAGAGAGUGACAGUCCAGGUCGGUGUCCCGCAGAGAGUGUGACGUCAGACAACAGUCCCGCCCCGCCGUGGGGUCUCCGACACACACGUGGGAGGUCAGAGUGACCCCAGGGUGACGUCAGCGCAGAGCGACCACCGAGUGACCCCAGAGUGACUUCAGCACAGAGUGAUCCCAGAGUGACGUCAGCACAGAGUGACCCCAGAGUGACGUCAGGGAAGAGCGACCCCAUAGUGACCCCAGAGUGACGUCAGCGAUACCCCGUACCGACCGGGAGCCCAGGACCUGACGUGCAGAUUUAUGAAAAUUAACGCUGACGAGGGUGAUCUGAGCUGCGGAGAGGAUGAACGCAAAUCUGCGCGGCUCCCGCUCGCUCCU